Molecule: long non-coding RNA, 300 nt
Organism: Helianthus annuus (common sunflower)
Lineage: Eukaryota; Viridiplantae; Streptophyta; Magnoliopsida; Asterales; Asteraceae
Exons: 4
Source: RefSeq, a predicted model, not a curated record
UGUAAACAAGUCAAAUGAUACGUGAGUCACUCGACAUCAGCUAAUUAAAAGCAUGAAUUAAGCCAAGCUUAAACGGAGUUUGCGGCAGUGGAGUUGUGGCUCGAUGAAGAGACGGAGUUUGCGGCAGUGGCGUUCGGCAGCGGCUUCCUCGGUCUCGGACUCUCGGUUGAGGAAGAAGCGAAAAUCUGAACAAGGUUUAUGGUUCAGGAAUGCAUUUGGACAGCUGACAGCAGGGAUGCGGUAGGUGGUAAUAGUCACACUAGAGGAGCUUGAAGCUAUUGAACGACGAUCACGGCUUCA